Molecule: small nuclear RNA, 162 nt
Organism: Rosa chinensis
Lineage: Eukaryota; Viridiplantae; Streptophyta; Magnoliopsida; Rosales; Rosaceae
Product: U1 spliceosomal RNA
Exons: 1
Source: RefSeq, a predicted model, not a curated record
AUACUUACCUGGACGGGGUUUUUGGGCGAUCAAGAACGCCCAUGGCCUAGGUCAGUGACCUCCAUUGCACUUAGGAGGGGUGCUAACCUAUGGUCUUCCACAAGUGGAAGAGCCAACGUCAUAAUUUGUUGCCGUGGGGGCUUGCGUUCGCGCAGCCCCUGC